GCCAGUGUGGUACAGUAUAGUGGUUUGAGCACCGGACUAUGACUCUGGAGACCAGGGUUCGAAUCCUAGCUCGGCC
Phrynosoma platyrhinos (Desert horned lizard) is the source of this 76-nucleotide non-coding RNA. The record is from the annotation of a GenBank genome assembly. Lineage: Eukaryota; Metazoa; Chordata; Lepidosauria; Squamata; Phrynosomatidae.